Molecule: ribosomal RNA, 512 nt
Filed under: Dacus punctatifrons
Lineage: Eukaryota; Metazoa; Arthropoda; Insecta; Diptera; Tephritidae
Description: partial 16S ribosomal RNA
Rfam family: Bacterial large subunit ribosomal RNA (bases 388-512)
Source: RNAcentral
GUCUUUUUGAGUUAUUUUUAAAGUCUGACCUGCCCACUGAGUUUUAAAUGGCCGCAGUAUUUUAACUGUGCAAAGGUAGCAUAAUCAUUAGUCUUUUAAUUGAAGGCUGGUAUGAACGGUUGGACGAGGUAUAAGCUGUUUCAUAUAAAAUUAUAAUAGAAUUUUAUAUUUUAGUUAAAAAGCUAAAAUAUAAUUAAAAGACGAGAAGACCCUAUAAAUCUUUAUACUUUAGAUAAUUUAAAUUUUUUGGGUUUAUUUUAUUUUUAUUAUAUUGAGUAUUUUGUUGGGGUGAUAUUAAAAUUUAAUGAACUUUUAAUUGGUGUUUAAAUCAUUAAUUUAUGAAUUGUUGAUCCAUUAAUAGUGAUUAUAAGAUUAAGUUACUUUAGGGAUAACAGCGUAAUUUUUUUGGAGAGUUCAUAUCGAUAAAAAAGUUUGCGACCUCGAUGUUGGAUUAAGAUAUAAUUUUAGGUGUAGUCGCUUAAAUGUUAAGUCUGUUCGACUUUUAAAUUCUU